AGGGCAAAGGGGUUGGCUUAUGAAAGUAAACCAAUUAAACUUUAUGCUCCUUGGAAAAGUAAAGAUAAAUUUAUUUUCCUUAAUAAAUUGCUCCUCCGAAAACGAAUGCGAAGUUAUGUUCCGUACAAUAAUAGCUGGAGUAAACUCCAGAGAGUGUAGAAGGAACUAAAAAGUAUCGUUUGGAGCUCAGCAACAUGGAGAGCACAGAGAUGGUAUCAUAUGUGAGCCAGCAAGAAGCCAUAGAAAUUGAUCAGAUGUUGAUGGGUCCUAUUGGUUUUACUGUGGAUCAGCUCAUGGAAUUGGCAGGCUUGAGUGUUGCCUCCGCAAUUGCAGAGGUCUAUAGUUCAAGUGAAUAUACUCGCGUGCUUGUUAUAUGUGGUCCUGGUAACAAUGGCGGGGAUGGUCUUGUAGCUGCUCGACACUUGCAUCACUUUGGUUAUAAGCCCUCCGUUUGUUAUCCAAAACGAACUACUGAACCUCCUUUUGCUGGUUUGGUUACCCAGCUUGAGUCACUGUCAGCUCCAUUCUUGCCGGUGGAAGAUCUAUCCAUGCAGCUUUCAAAUGACUUUGAAAUUAUAGUGGAUGCAAUUUUUGGAUUCUCAUUCCAUGGCAACCCAAGGCCACCGUUUGAUAGUCUCAUUAGAAGGCUGGUCUCCAUAAGAAACCAGCAUUACACACAUGAGAAAGCAGCUGUCAUUAUAUCUGUAGACAUACCUUCCAGGUGGCAUGUGGAAGAGGGAGACGUUUGUGGGGAAGGCAUUGAACCUGAUAUGCUGGUCUCUUUGACUGCUCCAAAAUUUGUGUGCCAAAAUGUUCAGUGGCCCACAUCAUUUUUUGGGUGGAAGAUUUGUUCCCCGAUCCAUCAUAGACAAAUUCAAGCUAAAACUUCCAUCAUAUCCUGGCACUUCCAUGUGUGUUCGAAUUGGAAAUAUUCCACAAACCAUUUUAUUAGCACAGAAAGGGAUAUUUGCAGCUUCUGCAUAUCUUGAGGUGGAGGAAGAUCCUAUUGAUCAGUUUCAAAAGUGGCUUGGUGAUGCAUUGGAAGCUGGGGUCAAAGAACCCCAUUAUAUGGUCCUAUCAACAGCUGGUAAAGAUGCAAAACCUUCAUCGCGAAUGGUAUCAUUGGAAGGAGUAAACAAAGAUGGUUUUGUCUGGCACACCAGCUAUGGGAGCCGAAAGGCUCGUGAAAUUUCUGAAAAUCCUCAUGCAUCACUUCUCUUUUACUGGGAUCCUUUGAAAUGCCAGGUAAGAGUGGAGGGAUUUGUGGAGAAAGUUUCUGAUGAGGAAUCUGAACAAUACUUCUCUAGUCUUCCUCGAGAUAUCCAGAUUAGACCAAUAGUUAGCAAGCAGAGCACACUGAUUCAUGGACGAGAGGUUCUCCAUCAACAGUACAAAGAAUUAGAGGAGAAGUAUCAUGACAGGACCUCAAUACCAAGACCCAAACACUGGGGUGGUUACAGGCUUAGUCCAGAGUUUUUUGAGUUUUGGCAGGGAGAAGAAUCUCAAGUGCACCUCAAAUUCCGGUACUAUGUGGAGGAGAUUGAUGGAAGAAGAGUUUGGAGAAUUCAUAGAUUGGUCCCACAAUUAGCAGAAUCAGCAUCUUCAUUAUGACUUGCCAUCUCUUUGAACUUAGCAAAAAUGCAUCAGUGCAUGCAUAUGACAGGAAACUAGCAAUUAGAUCUUUUCUUUUGCUGUUUCCCCUUCUGAUUACCUUUUCUUGGGUAGGAUGUUGCACUUGGGAGGUGAUAGAAUAUUUCCGAGGUUGUAUAUAUGUAUUGCGAAAAAUUGUUUACUUGCUCAUUAUCUCUUUGUAAG
RNA transcript from Solanum dulcamara, 1815 nucleotides. It is a transcript of the gene named pyridoxine/pyridoxamine 5'-phosphate oxidase 1, chloroplastic-like, with no coding region annotated. NCBI's taxonomy places the organism in Eukaryota, Viridiplantae, Streptophyta, Magnoliopsida, Solanales, Solanaceae. The transcript is spliced from 13 exons. The record is from RefSeq and is a predicted model, not a curated record.